Molecule: small RNA, 224 nt
Filed under: Cervus elaphus hippelaphus
Lineage: Eukaryota; Metazoa; Chordata; Mammalia; Artiodactyla; Cervidae
Source: RNAcentral
GGCACAAUGGCGCAGCCUGUAUACCAAGCUACUCAGGAGGCCGAGGCAGAAGGAUCACUUGAGCCCAGGAGUUCUGGGCUAUAGGUGUGAUUAGGUGUUGGCAGCAGGUUCAGCAUUAAUAUGGGAGCUGGGAACCACCCUGUCGUUUAAAGUUGGGAGGGGAUGUGAACUAAUCCAGGUUGGAAAACAGACCAGGUCAAAACUCCUGUGCUGAUCAUAGUGGG